CCAAUAGCGUAUAUUAAAGUUGUUGCAGUUAAAAAGCUCGUAGUUGAAUUUCAGGCCUGGCUGGACGGUCCGCCCUUCGGGUGAGUACUGUCUGUGGUCGGGUCCUACCUUCUGGCGAAGCGUCAUGGCCUUAACCGGCCGUGGCGGGGAACCAGGACUUUUACUGUGAAAAAAUUAGAGUGUUCAAAGCAGGCAAUCGCUUGGAUACAUUAGCAUGGAAUAAUGGAAUAGGACAAUGGUUCUAUUUGUUGGUUUCUAGGACCGUUGUAAUGAUUAAUAGGGAUAGUUGGGGGCAUUAGUAUUCAAUUGUCAGAGGUAAAAUUCUUGGAUUUAUUGAAGACUAACUACUGCGAAAGCAUUUGCCAAGGAUGUUUUCAUUAAUCAAGAACGAAAGUUAGGGGAUCGAAGACGAUCAGAUACCGUCGUAGUCUUAACCAUAAACUAUGCCGACUAGGGAUCGGAUGAUGUUAAUUUUUUAAUGACUCAUUCGGCGCCUUACG
RNAcentral lists this ribosomal RNA (500 nucleotides) under uncultured Paraglomus. Its description in RNAcentral is "SSU rRNA". It matches the Rfam family "Eukaryotic small subunit ribosomal RNA", at positions 591 to 1092 of the family's 1831-position model. Lineage: Eukaryota; Fungi; Glomeromycota; Glomeromycetes; Paraglomerales; Paraglomeraceae. The record is from RNAcentral.